UGGGGAAUAUUGCACAAUGGGCGCAAGCCUGAUGCAGCCAUGCCGCGUGUAUGAAGAAGGCCUUCGGGUUGUAAAGUACUUUCAGCGAGGAGGAAGGCAUUGUGGUUAAUAACCACAGUGAUUGACGUUACUCGCAGAAGAAGCACCGGCUAACUCCGUGCCAGCAGCCGCGGUAAUACGGAAGGGUGCAGCGUUUAAAUCGGAAUUACUGGGCGUAAAGCGCACGCAGGCGGUCUGUCAAGUCGGAUGUGAAAUCCCCGGGCUCAACCUGGGAACUGCAUUCGAAACUGGCAAGCUAGAGUCUUGUAGA
Molecule: ribosomal RNA, 310 nt
Filed under: uncultured Buttiauxella sp.
Lineage: Bacteria; Pseudomonadati; Pseudomonadota; Gammaproteobacteria; Enterobacterales; Enterobacteriaceae
Description: bacterial SSU rRNA
Rfam family: Bacterial small subunit ribosomal RNA
Source: RNAcentral